Molecule: ribosomal RNA, 301 nt
Filed under: uncultured bacterium
Lineage: Bacteria
Description: partial 16S ribosomal RNA
Rfam family: Bacterial small subunit ribosomal RNA
Source: RNAcentral
CAGCCGCCGCGGUAAUACGAGGGGGGCAAGCGUUGUUCGGAAUUAUUGGGCGUAAAGGGUGCGUAGGCGGCUUGACAAGUCUUGUGUGAAAUCUAUGGGCUCAACCCAUAGUCUGCACGGGAAACUGUCGGGCUUGAGAAUGGGAGAGGUGAGUGGAAUUCCACGUGUAGCAGUGAAAUGCGUAGAGAUGUGGAGGAAUACCGAUGGCGAAGGCAGCCCCCUGGGCCAAUACUGACGCUCAUGCACGAAAGCGUGGGGAGCAAACAGGAUUAGAUACCCCCGUAGUCCCUGUCUCUUAUAC